RNAcentral lists this long non-coding RNA (150 nucleotides) under Sarcophilus harrisii (Tasmanian devil). Its description in RNAcentral is "lncRNA (ENSSHAG00000026673.1)". Lineage: Eukaryota; Metazoa; Chordata; Mammalia; Dasyuromorphia; Dasyuridae. The record is from RNAcentral.
UAGUGACGGCGGUCUGGCGGCUCGAGCGGAGGCGGGCUCAAGUUCUAGGUUCUUCCUGGACUUUUCCCACCCCUCCAGCCCCCAGUCAUGGGGAGGAGGGAGAGCAGUCGGCCAAUCUAGCAGUAAAUUGCAUCUUUUCAAGUAUCGGGG